GCCUUCGUGGUGUAACGGUAGCACACUCGGCGCGCACUCGAGAUGUCCAGGUUCGAGUCCCGCCAAGGGCA
RNAcentral lists this transfer RNA (71 nucleotides) under Stegodyphus mimosarum. It matches the Rfam family "tRNA". Rfam says of the family: Transfer RNA (tRNA) molecules are approximately 80 nucleotides in length. Lineage: Eukaryota; Metazoa; Arthropoda; Arachnida; Araneae; Eresidae. The record is from Rfam by way of RNAcentral.